Cercocebus atys (sooty mangabey) is the source of this 1514-nucleotide RNA transcript. It is a transcript of the gene named F-actin-capping protein subunit alpha-1 pseudogene, with no coding region annotated. The record is from RefSeq and is a predicted model, not a curated record. The transcript has a single exon. Lineage: Eukaryota; Metazoa; Chordata; Mammalia; Primates; Cercopithecidae.
CCACAGCACUGUGGCCUGGCAACAGAGCGAGACUCCGUCUCAAUAAAAAAAGAAAAAAGAAAGAAAAACAAAGACUGAGGGAUGGGAGGAAUGGGAAGAUGAUGAUCAAAGGGUACAAAAUCUCAGACAGGAGAAAUUUUAUUUUCUCUUUUUUGAGUUCUAUUGCAUAAUGUGGUGAAUAUUCAAAAUAGCUCAGAGAGUAAAUUUCAAGUGUUCACACCACAAAAAGUUAAGUAUUUGAGGUGAUGGCUGUGUUAAUUACCUUGAUUAAAUUAUUCUACAUUGUAUUCAGAGGUUAUAAUAUCACCUUGUAACCUAUAAAUUUAUGUCAUUAUAAAUUUUCAAUUUAUAAUUAAGAAAAAACACUUGGGGCCAGAUUAGCAUCAGAAGUGAUUUUUUAAAUAUUUACAAGAUACAAUACAUUUCAUAUAGUGUAUGGCAUUUCAUAUAGUGUAAGAUAAACAAAAGCUAUUUAUAUCUCAGAAAAAAAAGACCUUGCUUCCAUUCCAUGCAUCUUUUUAAGUGUUAAAAUAUAAAUGUUGAGAACAGCGCAAGAUGGCCAACUUCGUUGAUUGUGUGUUGGAUGAGGAGAAGGUACGCAUAGCUGCUGAAUUCAUCACUCAUGCACCCCCAGGGGAAUUUAAUGAAGUAUUCGGUGAUGUUCGGCUACUACGUAAUAAUGACAACCUCCUCAGGGAAAGGGCAGAACAUCCAUUUGCUCAUUACAACGUGAAUCAGUUCACACCUGUGAAGACAGAAGGAUAUGAAGAUCAGGUCUUAAUUACAGAGCAUGGUGACCUGGGCAAUAUCAGAGUUUUAGAUCCAAGAAACAAAUUUUCCUUUAAAUUUGAUCACUUACAGAAAGAAGCAAGUGACCCCCAGCCAGAACAAGUAGAUGGAGGUCUGAAGUCUUGGAGAUAAUCCUGUGACAGUGCUUUAAGAGCCUGUGUGAAAGACCAUUAUUCCAACUGCUUCUGUACUGUUUAUGCUAAAACUAUCAAUGGGCAACAGACUAUUAUUGCGUGUAUUGAAAGCCACCAGAGUCAGCCUAAAAACUUAUGGAAUGGUCGUUGGAGAUCAGAGUGGAAGUUGACCAUCACACCACCUACAGGCCAGGUGGUUGGAGUGCUUAAGAUUCAGGUUCACUAUUAUGAAGAUGGCAAUGUUCAGUUGGUUAGUCAUAAAGAUGUACAUGAUUCACUGACUGUUUCGAAUGACACACAAACUGCCGAGGAGUUUAUUAAAAUCAUGGAGAAUGCAGAAAAUGAGCGUCAGACAGCAAUUAGUGAAAACUAUCAAACAAUGUCAGAUACCACAUUCAAGGUCUUGGCGCCGGCAGCUUCCAGGUACCCGCACCAAAAUCGACUAGAACAAGAUACUCAGCUACAACAUUGCCAAAGAAAUGCAGAAUGCCUAAAGGCUGAAUGUAGGAUUCUUCACUAUGUGGAAAGACAAGGAUUCAACGUGUGGUCAUAUGAUAAAUAAGUGAUUUAUAAACAAGAGUGCUAUUUUGC